GGGUUUUUUUAUAAUCUGAGCCUUCUCGGCGCCUCUCGUAGGCGUUUCGAAAAUGAAUCAAAACUUUCAACAACGGAUCUCUUGGUUCUGGCAUCGAUGAAGAACGCAGCGAAAUGCGAUAAGUAAUGUGAAUUGCAGAAUUCAGUGAAUCAUCGAAUCUUUGAACGCACAUUGCGCCCGCCAGUAUUCUGGCGGGCAUGCCUGUCCGAGCGUCAUUUCAACCCUCGAACCCCUCCGGGGGGUCGGCGUUGGGGAUCGGCCCUGCCUUGGCGGUGGCCGUCUCCGAAAUACAGUGGCGGUCUCGCCGCAGCCUCUCCUGCGCAGUAGUUUGCACACUCGCAUCGGGAGCGCGGCGCGUCCACAGCCGUUAAACACCCAACUUCUGAAAUGUUGACCUCGGAUCAGGUAGGAAUACCCGCUGAACUUAAGCAUAUCAA
This 437-nucleotide ribosomal RNA is filed under the name Trichoderma harzianum. RNAcentral's name for it is "eukaryotic LSU rRNA". The stretch from base 62 to 215 matches the Rfam family "5.8S ribosomal RNA". Lineage: Eukaryota; Fungi; Ascomycota; Sordariomycetes; Hypocreales; Hypocreaceae. The record is from RNAcentral.